This 373-nucleotide ribosomal RNA is filed under the name uncultured bacterium. Its description in RNAcentral is "bacterial SSU rRNA". It matches the Rfam family "Bacterial small subunit ribosomal RNA", at positions 524 to 898 of the family's 1533-position model. The record is from RNAcentral.
UACGUAGGGGGCGAGCGUUGUCCGGAAUUAUUGGGCGUAAAGGGUGCGUAGGCGGCCCUGUAAGUCAGAUGUGAAAUCCCUCGGCUUAACCGAGGUAAGCAUUUGAAACUGCAGGGCUUGAGUGCAGGAGAGGAAAGUGGAAUUCCUAGUGUAGCGGUGAAAUGCGUAGAUAUUAGGAGGAACACCAGUGGCGAAGGCGACUUUCUGGACUGUAACUGACGCUGAGGCACGAAAGCGUGGGGAGCGAACAGGAUUAGAUACCCUGGUAGUCCACGCUGUAAACGAUGAGUGCUAGGUGUUGGGGGAGACAUCCUUCAGUGCCGCAGUUAACACAAUAAGCACUCCGCCUGGGGAGUACGGUCGCAAGACUGAA